AAUAUCAGAUUGAUCUAUUUCUAUACGAGUCUCGCCUGCUACGAAAUGAAUAUGAACCUGAGGAAUAUGAAGCAUUGAUCUGGUGAACCAUAGGACAAGACUUGAGCCUCCCUACUAUUAUUAAUUAGAGGGUCACUAGUAACUCCCUUAAUAAUAGGCUCAAGAACGCCUGUAUAUUAUUAUUAGUUCCAGCACCUACCAUAGAUUUGGGAAUCCUUGACCCUCGGGGGCACCUGCCAGCAUGCACCAGCUAUUACGUAUAUAAGACUGGAUCGACAUUGAUCUGCUUCUCAUCAUUUCUCUGAUUGAAAGAUUGGUAGAGGUUACAGGUGCCAGUGAAUCGUGGCAUGGCAUGCGCAUCAAUGUCAGAUGAUUAGCCCAAUGCCCAGAAUCGUGAGGGAACUACUAGGCUUUUUAGGGUAGGACCACCGACUAUUGUAAGUGAUUCUGAAUACCGGCUACUGGUUUAUGAAGUGGGUAUGGGUAGGACCGGAAAGGUGCUAGUGACGAAGGUCCCAUUCCGGAUGUUGAGAGCCCCG
This 539-nucleotide long non-coding RNA is filed under the name Amborella trichopoda. RNAcentral describes it as "long non-coding RNA (ATRI_LNC003366)". The record is from RNAcentral. Lineage: Eukaryota; Viridiplantae; Streptophyta; Magnoliopsida; Amborellales; Amborellaceae.